CUUCCGCACAUGUUCCCAAUCGCAAUUGGAAUUUCAUUUGUUAGUUUUUCGGGUUCUUCGAUGAGAUAUGAUUUUAUGCGCAGGUCACUCGCCGCUCUCGAGAAGGCGAUGGGUGCGUGGUGAAUUUCCGGUGUUGGCGGCGCGGUGCUGCCACCAACGGCUCGACGGGGCUCAGUGUUUCUGUGUGUCCUUGGAUUAUGUAUCCACUGGAUCACUUUCCCGUUGUUUCCACACUGCAAAAACAUUUUCUUCGUCGCGUUGUAGCCAAGGAAUUGUGAUCGACUUCCGCUGUGGAUUUAGACUAGGAGUUACCCUGGAAAUGGGAACUACAAGGAGCUUCAUGCUGCCGCGUGACUGUCAACAUCUCUUGAACGUCUGGCUCUCCACACUUUUUAAUUCCAUUGUACGUCUCUGACUAGGUCUAGCCAGCAAUAACGAAACCAUGUAGAGUGACAAGUUUGAAGAAGUCAUACGCAGCGGUCUACCCUGCUGAAAGUCGUAAAUCCUGAGAGGCAACACGAAAUGCAAAAGUCUUGUUGGUCUAGUGAUUGUUGCAAGAAAAACUGAAGUUUCAAGUGAUGCUGCUGAGAGGAGUCGUAGAAGAGUAGCUGCAGAAAGGCGUUAGUUUUUUAUUACUAAACUGUGUCUGGCGUUAGACUCCCAUGUUAUUGGUUCCUCAGUUUGUCUGAGAUACCAGGCUCCAGGACUACAGUUCGACUUGGAAACAAGGAAUGGAGGGUAAGCAGUGGCACAGUGGUGGUAAAUAGGUACUAAAACAGACGAAAUGGUCCACCACUUCGAUCCGCGAGUGCUCAGUCACAAAUGCGUCCGUCGUCGGCGUUUUUUGCCGGAGGUAGGGAUGUCGGACACCCCCAGAAGUCACAGUAUGCUUCAACUCAUAGUUCUAAGAGGGAUGUGUCACUCGGAGACACUUUCUGCUGCGGGCUGGAAACGUCCUACGAUUUGUGUGGAACUGAACCAUUCCAAUCACGCAAACACUUCAGUACCCGAGGAAAACAAUUCCAGGGGCACGCGCGAGGAAAAGUCAUG
RNAcentral lists this long non-coding RNA (1050 nucleotides) under Toxoplasma gondii VEG. Lineage: Eukaryota; Apicomplexa; Conoidasida; Eucoccidiorida; Sarcocystidae. The record is from RNAcentral.